Molecule: ribosomal RNA, 497 nt
Filed under: uncultured bacterium
Lineage: Bacteria
Description: partial 16S ribosomal RNA
Rfam family: Bacterial small subunit ribosomal RNA
Source: RNAcentral
GAUGAACGCUGGCGGCGUGCCUAAUACAUGCAAGUCGAGCGAACGGACGAGAAGCUUGCUUCACUGAUGUUAGCGGCGGACGGGUGAGUAACACGUGGAUAACCUACCUAUAAGACUGGGAUAACUUCGGGAAACCGGAGCUAAUACCGGAUAAUAUUUUGAACCGCAUGGUUCAAAAGUGAAAGACGGUCUUGCUGUCACUUAUAGAUGGAUCCGCGCUGCAUUAGCUAGUUGGUAAGGUAACGGCUUACCAAGGCAACGAUGCAUAGCCGACCUGAGAGGGUGAUCGGCCACACUGGAACUGAGACACGGUCCAGACUCCUACGGGAGGCAGCAGUAGGGAAUCUUCCGCAAUGGGCGAAAGCCUGACGGAGCAACGCCGCGUGAGUGAUGAAGGUCUUCGGAUCGUAAAACUCUGUUAUUAGGGAAGAACAUAUGUGUAAGUAACUGUGCACAUCUUGACGUUACCUAAUCAGAAAGCCACGGCUAACUACGUG